AGGGAAUAUUGCGCAAUGGGGGCAACCCUGACGCAGCGACGCCGCGUGAGCGAAGAAGGCCUUCGGGUCGUAAAGCUCUGUCAUGAGGGAAGAAGCAAGUGACGGUACCUCAUGAGGAAGCCCCGGCUAACUACGUGCCAGCAGCCGCGGUAAUACGUAGGGGGCGAGCGUUGUCCGGAAUCACUGGGCGUAAAGGGUGCGUAGGCGGUAGCUUAAGUCAGAUGUGAAAGACCACAGCUUAACUGUGGGGUUGCAUUUGAAACUGGGUUACUUGAGUAUCGGAGAGGGUAGUGGAAUUCCCGGAGUAGCGGUGAUAUGCGUAGAUAUCGGGAGGAACACCAGUGGCGAAGGCGACUACCUGGACGGUAACUGACGCUGAGGCACGAAAGCUAGGGGAGCAAAC
Molecule: ribosomal RNA, 403 nt
Filed under: uncultured bacterium
Lineage: Bacteria
Description: bacterial SSU rRNA
Rfam family: Bacterial small subunit ribosomal RNA
Source: RNAcentral